ACCCGCAACAAGCAGCGGAGCGUGUGGUUUAAUUCGUUGCUACACGAAGAACCUUACCUGGGUUUGACAUAUAGGUUGUAGGGAACUGAAAGGGACCGACCCGUUCGGGGAGCCUAUACAGGUGUUGCAUGGCUGUCGUCAGCUCGUGUCGUGAGAUGUUCGGUUAAGUCCGCUAACGAGCGCAACCCUCGUCGUAUGUUAUAUGUGUCAUACGAGACUGCCGGUAAAAAGCCGGAGGAAGGUGAGGAUGAUGUCAAGUCAGCAUGACCUUUAUAUCCAGGGCUACACACACGCUACAAUGGUCUGUACAAUGGGUAGCCAAGCCGCGAGGCGGAGCCAAUCCUGAAAGCAGGCCUCAGUUCAGAUUGCAGUCUGCAACUCGACUGCAUGAAGCCGGAGUUGCUAGUAACCGCAGGUCAGCAAUACUGCGGUGAAUACGUUCCCGGGUCUU
Molecule: ribosomal RNA, 451 nt
Filed under: uncultured Anaerolineaceae bacterium
Lineage: Bacteria; Bacillati; Chloroflexota; Anaerolineae; Anaerolineales; Anaerolineaceae
Description: bacterial SSU rRNA
Rfam family: Bacterial small subunit ribosomal RNA
Source: RNAcentral